CCUACGGGUGGCAGCAGUCGAGAAUCAUUCACAAUGGGGGCAACCCUGAUGGUGCAACGCCGCGUGAGGGAAUGAAGCUCUUCGGAUUGUAAACCCCUGUCAUGUGGGAGCGUAUUAAAAAGUUAGUACCGCAUGAGGAAGAGACAGCUAACUCUGUGCCGGCAGCCGCGGUAGUACAGAGGUCUCAAGCGUUGUGCGGACUCACUGGGCGUAAAGCGUGCGUAGGCUGGUUCGUAAGUCGUGUGUGAAAGCCGCGGGCUCAACCCGCGGACGGCACAUGAUACUGCGGGACUAGAGUAAUGGAGGGGGAACCGGAAUUCCCGGUGUAGCAGUGAAAUGCGUAGAUA
RNAcentral lists this ribosomal RNA (347 nucleotides) under uncultured bacterium. RNAcentral describes it as "partial 16S ribosomal RNA". It matches the Rfam family "Bacterial small subunit ribosomal RNA", at positions 338 to 696 of the family's 1533-position model. The record is from RNAcentral.